AGUAAAGUAAGCUAAACAAGCUAUUGGGCCCAUACCCCAAAAAUGGUGGGCUAACAAUCCCCCUUUUACUA
Molecule: transfer RNA, 71 nt
Filed under: Neosynchiropus moyeri (Moyer's dragonet)
Lineage: Eukaryota; Metazoa; Chordata; Actinopteri; Syngnathiformes; Callionymidae
Description: tRNA-Met
Source: RNAcentral